GUUCGCUUCAGCAGCACAUGUACUAAAAUUGAAACGAUGCAGAGAAGAUUAGCAUGACCCCUGCGCAAGGAUGACAUGUAAAUCCAUGGAGUGUUCCACAUUUUA
Dipodomys spectabilis (banner-tailed kangaroo rat) is the source of this 105-nucleotide small nuclear RNA. The record is from RefSeq and is a predicted model, not a curated record. Lineage: Eukaryota; Metazoa; Chordata; Mammalia; Rodentia; Heteromyidae.